GAUGAACGCUGGCGGCGUGCCUAAUACAUGCAAGUCGAGCGAACAGACGAGGAGCUUGCUCCUCUGACGUUAGCGGCGGACGGGUGAGUAACACGUGGAUAACCUACCUAUAAGACUGGGAUAACUUCGGGAAACCGGAGCUAAUACCGGAUAAUAUAUUGAACCGCAUGGUUCAAUAGUGAAAGACGGUUUUGCUGUCACUUAUAGAUGGAUCCGCGCCGCAUUAGCUAGUUGGUAAGGUAACGGCUUACCAAGGCGACGAUGCGUAGCCGACCUGAGAGGGUGAUCGGCCACACUGGAACUGAGACACGGUCCAGACUCCUACGGGAGGCAGCAGUAGGGAAUCUUCCGCAAUGGGCGAAAGCCUGACGGAGCAACGCCGCGUGAGUGAUGAAGGCCUUCGGAUCGUAAAACUCUGUUAUUAGGGAAGAACAAAUGUGUAAGUAACUAUGCACGUCUUGACGGUACCUAAUCAGAAAGCCACGGCUAACUACGUG
RNAcentral lists this ribosomal RNA (497 nucleotides) under uncultured bacterium. Its description in RNAcentral is "partial 16S ribosomal RNA". It matches the Rfam family "Bacterial small subunit ribosomal RNA", at positions 28 to 507 of the family's 1533-position model. The record is from RNAcentral.